ACCCCAGGCAAGCCAGGUGGGCAUUGUGGUGUUUAUUAUAUAUAUUUUUUUUUUUGGUCGUUUCAACUUUGUGCUUGCUUUCAGGCCUGGGUCCAAGAACACCAAGCCCGACGCCCUCUCCCAAGCCUUCUGCAGCACAGGGACCGACAAGACCACCCCGGAUACCAUUGUGCCCACUUCCUGUGUUUUUGGGGUGGUAGUGUGGCAGGUGGAGUGGCAGGUCAAUGCUGCUCUCUUGAGUCGCCCCAGUAACUGCCCGGCAGGACUCCUAUGUACCCGAACCGGUGAGGUCCUCAGUAUUACUAUGGGCUCACGCCUCUAAACUAACCUGCCACCUUGGUGUUGCCCGGUCUCUCUCCUUUCUCCGUAGAAGAUUCUAAUGGCCAACCAUGGAAGCUGACACUAAGAGCGUCGUCUCAGCUUGUCCGGUGUGCGCCCAAAAUAAGAACUCCAAUCAGCCCCCUUCUGGUUAUCUGCACCCGCUACCCAUCCCACGUCGACCAUGGUCCCAUUUGCUGCAGAUUUUGUCACCGGGUUUCCCCCAUCAGAGGGUAAGACUGUGGUCCUCACUGUCAUUGAUCGUUUUAGUAAGUUUGCACACUUCAUCCCUCUGGCCAAGCUACCCUCUGCCAAAGAAACCGCUGAAGUACCAGUGAGGGAGGUGUUUCACAUUCAUGGUCUGCCCACAGUUAUCAUUUCUGAUCGAGGAACCCAGUUCACCUCUGCGGUCUGGAGAUCCUUCUGCCGUGCCUUGGGGGCUUCCGUCAGCCUGACCUCCAGCUUUCACCUUCAAUCCAACGGCCAAGCUGAACAGGCCAACCAAGUGAUGGAGACCUCACUGCGUUGCCUGACUUCCUCCAACCCCACCACCUGGGCCUCACAGCUACCUUGGAUAGAAUACGCUGCCAUUAUCAGCCACAGGUUUGUCAUCGUUUCCAUAGACGCACAUCUAUGGAUACCAACCUCCGCUCUUCCGUCUCAGGAAAAGGAGAUCUCCGUGCCCUCUGUCCAGUUUCACAUCCGCCGUUGUCACUGCGCCUGUUCAGCCCUUCUCAGAUCGCUACCGCGGACAGGCCAAUCGCCGACGCACCACUGCCCCUGAAUACUCUCCGGGUAACAAGGUUUGGCUGUCCACCAAGGACAUCCCCUUUAAGACUGACUCUAAAAAAACGGUCGCCCCGGUUCAUUAGCCCAUUUGUCAUCGAAAGGGUUAUCAACCCUGAAGUGGUCAGACUCAAAUUGCCCCAUUCUCUCCAGAUUCACCCGUCUUUUCAUGUUUCCCAGAUCAAGCCUGUCCCCACCAGCCCGCUGCUGCUCUUUCCUCCUCCUCCCAGGAUCAUUGACAACGAGCCCGCCUACACCGUGCGGAGGAUUCAGUGUCUUGUGGACUGGGAGGGGUACGGCCCUGCUCCGACUUUUUUCGUUAUCAGCCUGGAGGUUGCCAGGAGGUGUCUGCUGCCUGGGGAGCUGAUUACACACACCUGCACAUGAUUUGCACUCCCUCCGGUUCCUGCCCUAUUUAAGUGGCGGCCUGACAUCCUGUCCUCGCCAGAUCUUUAAGUCGUUUUCCUUCCCUCGCCUGUCUGCUCUGCCUGCCCCGGUCUCCGCAGCCGCCACCAGCUCUCUUGUUUAAUUAAUCUCUGAGAACCAGCCCUAGUGUCCAGUCUAUUCCUGGGUCUUAUCUGAAGUGUGACAACAUCUUAGAAUCAUAUCCACCAUUACGCAUGAGUUUUCAUUUUCUACUGCGCCUUCCGGUAAUCUGUGUUUUUAUUUUUUUACAAGUCUUAUCAGGACCAGCCCUGACAAUGUUGGAGCCCUAGGCGAGAUUUUAAAUUGGCACCCCCCAUGCCCAACCCUAAAGUCCACCUCAGGGGUUGGGAUCAUCAGUAUCCACAGGAAGAAACAUUCAGUAGCCAAACUCACAAUUUUAGCAUGUAUAGAUGAACAACAAGUCAGUAAUCAUGGUCAAUGAAUACAUGUGAUCCGCAUACUUGUCAACCUCAACAUCAUAGCCUAAAUUGGGAGACCAAACCAUUUAGUUUCAAUGGUGGAGGGGACAGAAAUGAUGAGGGUGUAGGGGUCCUCCCCUAGAAAAUUUUAAGUAUUGAAGACUUCCUGCAUUCUGGGGAAAAUUUCUGCCUCAAUUAUGGUGGGAAAUUCUUAAUUUUGUAAAGGGAAACACACAAUUCAGACAGCAGGUGACGAUUCAUUACAUCCAAAAAAUGUUCACAUUCAAUGCACAUUCAGAAUCUGUCCCACAUAUCUUAGUUCUCUGACAUGUCCAGAAAAAGUCGUAACAUAACGAGACUGACAUCACUAUUAAAUAUUCAUAAUAUUUAAGUCUACCUGCUCUAUACUCUGUU
Molecule: long non-coding RNA, 2363 nt
Organism: Micropterus dolomieu (smallmouth bass)
Lineage: Eukaryota; Metazoa; Chordata; Actinopteri; Centrarchiformes; Centrarchidae
Exons: 3
Source: RefSeq, a predicted model, not a curated record